Non-coding RNA from Zea mays, 175 nucleotides. The record is from RefSeq and is marked provisional. NCBI's taxonomy places the organism in Eukaryota, Viridiplantae, Streptophyta, Magnoliopsida, Poales, Poaceae.
AGGCAGCUCUCCUCUGGCAGGCAGGCGCGCGGUCAUCGUCGCCAUCGACGACGGUUGCUUGGCUCUGCUAUGCUGUGUUCGUUCGUCCAUGGUGUGCUAGCUAGCCGUGCAUGCAUUGCAGUGUAACAUGCGUGCAUGCACGCGCGUACGUCCUGCCAAAGGAGAGUUGCCCUGC